This 253-nucleotide ribosomal RNA is filed under the name uncultured bacterium. RNAcentral's name for it is "partial 16S ribosomal RNA". It matches the Rfam family "Bacterial small subunit ribosomal RNA", at positions 524 to 776 of the family's 1533-position model. The record is from RNAcentral.
UACGGAGGGUGCAAGCGUUAUCCGGAUUCACUGGGUUUAAAGGGUGCGUAGGUGGGCAGGUAAGUCCGUGGUGAAAUCCCCGAGCUUAACUCGGGAACUGCCAUGGAUACUAUUUGUCUUGAAUAUUGUGGAGGUAAGCGGAAUAUGUCAUGUAGCGGUGAAAUGCUUAGAUAUGACAUAGAACACCAAUUGCGAAGGCAGCUGGCUACACGAGCAUUGACACUCAGGCACGAAAGCGUGGGGAUCAAACAGG